This 554-nucleotide ribosomal RNA is filed under the name uncultured Pacisporaceae. Its description in RNAcentral is "SSU rRNA". It matches the Rfam family "Eukaryotic small subunit ribosomal RNA", at positions 548 to 1098 of the family's 1831-position model. The record is from RNAcentral. Lineage: Eukaryota; Fungi; Glomeromycota; Glomeromycetes; Diversisporales; Pacisporaceae.
UUGGAGGGCAAGUCUGGUGCCAGCAGCCGCGGUAAUUCCAGCUCCAAUAGCGUAUAUUAAAGUUGUUGCAGUUAAAAAGCUCGUAGUUGAAUUUCGGAAUUUUUUUAUCGGUUGAAUCAACAGGUUCGUACUGAUUUUAAGAAUUUCUACCUUCUGGAGAACCUUAAUGUCAUUUAUUUGGUGUUUUGGGAAACCAGGACUGUUACCUUGAAAAAAUUAGAGUGUUUAAAGCAGGCAUUUUUGCUCGAAUACAUUAGCAUGGAAUAAUGAAAUAGGACGGACUGAUUCUAUUUCGUUGGUUUCUAGGAUCACCGUAAUGAUUAAUAGGGAUAGUUGGGGGCAUUAGUAUUCAAUUGUCAGAGGUGAAAUUCUUGGAUUUAUUGAAGACUAACUACUGCGAAAGCAUUUGCCAAGGAUGUUUUCAUUAAUCAAGAACGAAAGUUAGGGGAUCGAAGACGAUCAGAUACCGUCGUAGCCUUAACCAUAAACUAUGCCGACUAGGGAUCGGGCGAUGUUACAUACCAAUAUGACUCGCUCGGCGCCUUACGGGAAAC